Molecule: non-coding RNA, 212 nt
Organism: Pelobates cultripes (western spadefoot toad)
Lineage: Eukaryota; Metazoa; Chordata; Amphibia; Anura; Pelobatidae
Source: the annotation of a GenBank genome assembly
UUUAUACCUUUGUCCCUCUAAUUUAAGACUAUGUCCUCUUGUUGUGGUAGUUUUUCUUCUUUUAAAUAUACUGUGUUGAUUCCCUUUAUGUAUUUAAAUGUUUCUAUCAUAUCCCCCCCCUGUCUUGUCUUUCCUCCAAGCUAUACAUGUCAAGAUCCUUUAACCUUUCCUGGUAAGUUUUAUCUUGCAAUCCAUGAACCAGUUUAGUAUCC